RNAcentral lists this small RNA (113 nucleotides) under Pseudomonas duriflava. The record is from RNAcentral. Lineage: Bacteria; Pseudomonadati; Pseudomonadota; Gammaproteobacteria; Pseudomonadales; Pseudomonadaceae.
UUGGAUAGAGCGCAGGACGCGCUCAGUCAGGUCAAGGACGAUGACCAUGCCAGGAUGGCAGCUCGAUACGGAUAUUGAGCAUGGUCAGCAAAAACCCGCUUCGGCGGGUUUUU